Molecule: ribosomal RNA, 399 nt
Filed under: uncultured bacterium
Lineage: Bacteria
Description: bacterial SSU rRNA
Rfam family: Bacterial small subunit ribosomal RNA
Source: RNAcentral
GGAAUAUUGCACAAUGGGCGAAAGCCUGAUGCAGCGACGCCGCGUGAGUGAAGAAGUAUUUCGGUAUGGAAAGCUCUAUCAGCAGGGAAGAAAAUGACGGUACCUGGCUUCGAAGCCCCGGCUAACUACGUGCCAGCAGCCGCGGUAAUACGUAGGGGGCAAGCGUUAUCCGGAUUUACUGGGUGUAAAGGGAGCGUAGACGGCGAGGCAAGUCUGAAGUGAAAACCCAGGGCUCAACCCUGGGACUGCUUUGGAAACUGUUUUGCUAGAGUGUCGGAGAGGUAAGUGGAAUUCCUAGUGUAGCGGUGAGAUGCGUAGAUAUUAGGAGGAACACCAGUGGCGAAGGCGGCUUACUGGACGAUAACUGACGUUGAGGCUCGAAAGCGUGGGGAGCAAACA